GGAAUUUUCCGCAAUGGGCGAAAGCCUGACGGAGCAACGCCGCGUGGAUGAUGAAGUCUUUCGGGACGUAAAAUCCUUUCAGCAGGGACGAAGUUCUGACGGUACCUGCAGAAGAAGCAUCGGCUAACUACGUGCCAGCAGCCGCGGUAAUACGUAGGAUGCAAGCGUUGUCCGGAAUUAUUGGGCGUAAAGCGAGCGUAGGUGGCUCAUUAAGUUUGGACUUAAAGACCGGGGCUCAACUCCGGGAGUGGUUCGAAUACUGGUGAGCUAGAGGCUGUUAGAGGAAAGUGGAAUUCCGAGUGUAGCGGUGAAAUGCGUAGAUAUUCGGAGGAACACCGGUGGCGAAAGCGACUUUCUGGGGCAGUCCUGACACUGAGGCUCGAAAGCUCGGGGAGCA
This 397-nucleotide ribosomal RNA is filed under the name uncultured bacterium. Its description in RNAcentral is "bacterial SSU rRNA". It matches the Rfam family "Bacterial small subunit ribosomal RNA", at positions 358 to 770 of the family's 1533-position model. The record is from RNAcentral.